AAGAAAUUAGUUUAUUAAAAAUGUUAAGUUUGAAACUUAAAGAGGGCGAAAGCUGUUUUUUUUUU
RNAcentral lists this transfer RNA (65 nucleotides) under Pyura gangelion. Its description in RNAcentral is "transfer RNA-Ser(UCN)". Lineage: Eukaryota; Metazoa; Chordata; Ascidiacea; Stolidobranchia; Pyuridae. The record is from RNAcentral.